UCUCUGUAGGUGAACCUGAGGAGGGAUCAUUACUGUGUGAGGGCCUUCGGGCUCGACCUCCAACCCUUUGUGAAUACAACUUGUUGCUUCGGGGGCGACCCUGCCGUUUCGACGGCGAGCGCCCCCGGAGGCCUUCAAACACUGCAUCUUUGCGUCGGAGUUUAAAACAAAUUAAACAAAACUUUCAACAACGGAUCUCUUGGUUCUGGCAUCGAUGAAGAACGCAGC
RNAcentral lists this unclassified non-coding RNA (228 nucleotides) under uncultured fungus. Its description in RNAcentral is "sequence contains ITS1, 5.8S rRNA gene". The stretch from base 180 to 228 matches the Rfam family "5.8S ribosomal RNA", at positions 1 to 49 of the family's 154-position model. Lineage: Eukaryota; Fungi. The record is from RNAcentral.